RNAcentral lists this ribosomal RNA (435 nucleotides) under uncultured bacterium. RNAcentral describes it as "partial 16S ribosomal RNA". It matches the Rfam family "Bacterial small subunit ribosomal RNA", at positions 29 to 507 of the family's 1533-position model. The record is from RNAcentral.
AGCGAACGCUGGCGGCAGGCUUAACACAUGCAAGUCGAGCGGGCACUUUCGGGUGUCCGCGGCGGACGGGUGAGUAACGCGUGGGAACGUGCCCUCUGGUUCGGAAUAACUCAGGGAAACUUGAGCUAAUACCGGAUACGCCCUUUUGGGGAAAGGCUUGCUGCCGGAGGAUCGGCCCGCGUCUGAUUAGCUAGUUGGUGAGGUAACGGCUCACCAAGGCGACGAUCAGUAGCUGGUCUGAGAGGAUGAUCAGCCACACUGGGACUGAGACACGGCCCAGACUCCUACGGGAGGCAGCAGUGGGGAAUAUUGGACAAUGGGCGCGAGCCUGAUCCAGCCAUGCCGCGUGAGUGAUGAAGGCCUUAGGGUUGUAAAGCUCUUUUAUCCGGGACGAUAAUGACGGUACCGGAGGAAUAAGCCCCGGCUAACUUCGUG